This 741-nucleotide long non-coding RNA is filed under the name Bos indicus x Bos taurus (hybrid cattle). Its description in RNAcentral is "lncRNA (ENSBIXG00005011516.1)". The record is from RNAcentral. Lineage: Eukaryota; Metazoa; Chordata; Mammalia; Artiodactyla; Bovidae.
AUGGUUGGCGCAUACUCUGGUGUGAAGGUGGGACUCCGCGAAGACGUCGCACAGUACCUGGAAUUGUGUAUUGUGCACAACCUUGUGCUGAGACAACGGAAAACCGCCAUCUUAUUGCUCACUCAAUGCCUCCAUAACACCAAUUUUUCACUCCCGGGCUUUGCAGCAGCCCGGUGUACUUUCCAUAAUACGCCUAUUACACAGGCAUCCUCACUAGCCAUCGCUUACACAAUUACCCGUGUGAUUUUCUCCAUCCCGGCGUGGUUGCCAUCGUCUUCGGUCCCCACCCAGUAUAACUUCGGGCGCCUGCAUCACGGGUGCCCUAAAAAAAUAGGAGACGCGUUCCCCUCCUCCCAGGUUUCUGGUUUCUCCACCCAGUCUCCCCACCGUCCUCCACUCCUCGCACCCCAGCCCUUCCGGCCUCCACCCAGACCGGGGAGAAGCGGGCCUGACAUUCCAGCGUGCACUUUGAUCGUGACCCCUGAACAGGCACGGCCAGCCCUGGGGUUUUCUGGCGUUAACCGAAGCUGCAGGCAAAAGCAGCGCGAUCUCCGGGAGGAGAGCCCGAACAGGCUGUACGGGAGCCGCAGCACAAGUCUGGACGCAGAGGCUGCGCGCGGGAGCAGGGCUGGCCGCCCUGGCAGGAGCCCGAGCUGCAGGCCUCGGCUGGGAAGUGGGUCCCUCCGUCAUUUCCCCUGCCUCCACGGUCCCCAGCUUGCCUUUGACAGCUCUCUUCUUUGA